UGGGAAAAAAGGAGGGGAGGAGGGCAGAGCGGAGGUGCGGAGUCUCGGUCUGUGCGCUCUCCCAUCUGGCGCCGCCGCUCCGCAGGACGAGCGCGGAUCCCAAAACUAAGCUAGGGGCGGCGGCGGCGGUCGGCCUACCGGUACCUCUCCCUCGAGUACCUCUGGAAGCUCCGGCGGUUCUUCCGGCGGCUGCGCCGGCGGCUCCUCCGGCUGCCGAGGAGGGGCCUCCGGCUCGCGACGGAGCUGCGGGACGCGGCGGAGGCGCUCAAGGCGCAGUUGUGGCUGCAGGAGCAGAGGUGCGUCCAACCGUUUGCAGAAGCCAUGGACUGCUUCGUGGGAUUGAGUCUGUAUGUCCGCCACCGACGUCUGGAAAAACCCAUGACCUUCUUCCAACAAUAACUUCUCUGUCCUUUCUUUUUGCCGUGUGGUCGCUUACCUUUUAGUCUAUUGAGACGUCGAUUCCGACUCUUUGGAGUCGGGUACUUCUAACUUUUCUUAAGAUACGGCCGUUUCCACUUCCAACUUUUCUUAAGAUGUAGUCGUUGACACUUCUGACUUUUCUCAAGGUACAGCCGUUCACACUUCUAACUCUUUUUUCUACCCUCACAGUUCCAACUCUUCUGACGCUUAUUACUAAGGUUUCAGGUCGUACAAUUCCAUCUCUUCCAAAGUUUCCUUAGAUCGUCUUGUUGACUAUGCUUCUUCGGUAGCAGACAAGGUUCACCGGGGGGUUUCGACUGUAGGGAACAGUCUACGUUGCUACGACGAGCUCUAUUUAUGUCCCUCGAAGAACAACUGCGGAAGCAGUUCCAAAGGUUCCUUUGAUCGCUCCUACUGUCUCUCCUUUAUUCUCUAGAGGACCUGGUCCAUUUACGUACGCUGGGUAUAUCUCAACGACACUGUCACCUCAGCCGGAACAAACUCUCCUAGCCCGCAAGGUGGCCCUGGGUGUUCCACUUUAUGUCCAGCUAUGACAAGUUGGACUUCCGCCUGUUGUUGGGACUGAAGGCCGCCUCCCACGACGACCCGCUCCACUCCGGGCCCUCGGACCACCUGUACGGGCGUCUGCUCUACCGGUCGCUGCGAGCCUUCGACCUCUUGGUCGUCUAGUUCCUCUUCCGGGACAAACUGACGCUCGCGCGCAGCCGCGGGUUCCGCAGCUGCCUGGUCAAGUUCACGCCCGCAACGCCCGUCGCGUUCUGCUGGAUGAUGGUCGACGUCUGGGCCUCACGCCUGCUCGGCUACUGCUGCAAGCACUGCACGCAGUUGACGUUGUUGGUGACCUUCAAGACGACUCGCGGCCGCUGAGACGACGUUGACGAUCGCACAAAAAGGACAAUCGCUACGGCAAAGUCAGAACUGUCCAUCCGACCAGGCAAAAAAGUAUACGAAUCCUCCUCUGACAAAAGAACACAACAAAAAUUACACCAAUAAUUCUUGGGACUAAAUAAGUCUAACACAUGAUCAACUGGCGUAUUUACAACAAGCGACCUACUUGACUACAACGGACUACAUUCAAAAUACUUUCUCUAACAAGACACAAUCAAUACAUAUAUGUGAGUGUAUCACUAUGACACUAUCAUUACUUCUUUGUCC
This 1596-nucleotide ribosomal RNA is filed under the name Triticum aestivum (bread wheat). RNAcentral's name for it is "partial small subunit ribosomal RNA". The record is from RNAcentral. Lineage: Eukaryota; Viridiplantae; Streptophyta; Magnoliopsida; Poales; Poaceae.